Molecule: non-coding RNA, 45 nt
Filed under: Schistosoma margrebowiei
Lineage: Eukaryota; Metazoa; Platyhelminthes; Trematoda; Strigeidida; Schistosomatidae
Source: RNAcentral
AUCUAGCUGACAAAUCCCAAACAGAACGAAACGUACGUCCUGAAU